UACGUAGGGUCCGAGCGUUGUCCGGAAUUACUGGGCGUAAAGAGCUCGUAGGUGGUUUGUCGCGUUGUUCGUGAAAACUCACAGCUCAACUGUGGGCGUGCGGGCGAUACGGGCAGACUUGAGUACUGCAGGGGAGACUGGAAUUCCUGGUGUAGCGGUGGAAUGCGCAGAUAUCAGGAGGAACACCGGUGGCGAAGGCGCUGCUCUGGGCCGAAACUGACGCUGAGGAGCGAAAGCGUGGGUAGCAAACAGG
RNAcentral lists this ribosomal RNA (253 nucleotides) under uncultured bacterium. RNAcentral's name for it is "partial 16S ribosomal RNA". It matches the Rfam family "Bacterial small subunit ribosomal RNA", at positions 524 to 776 of the family's 1533-position model. The record is from RNAcentral.